GUUAUGCGAGAGCGUGAGCUUUUUGAUAGGUAACUGAAGAGUGCUCAGCCAAUGUCAAAACUUUGGAAGCGGUGGCCCGGGCGGCUUGUUGGCACAGCGAGGAUGACAAACCAGAGUCCUGAUAGGCAGCAAUGGCAGCUGUUCAUGGUCCUGGUACAGAGGACGGGCUACAGUCCACGAUUGGAG
This is a long non-coding RNA of Rhipicephalus microplus (southern cattle tick), 186 nucleotides long. The record is from RefSeq and is a predicted model, not a curated record. Lineage: Eukaryota; Metazoa; Arthropoda; Arachnida; Ixodida; Ixodidae.